UCUACUUCUUCUGUGCCACUUGUCAAUGGUGGGUCUUUCAAGUUCACGGCUCAAAGUCUCCGUAGAAAGCCUCUCAGUCUCAGACUUACUGCCACCAGAUCAAAAGCCGAUGAGCCACAAGAUGCAAGCUUUCCUUUUACACUCUCUGAACUGAUUCAAACCAAUAAUUUUGUGUGUAAAACGAUGUUGGUUUUUUUUUUUGUAGGAUUAUCUUAUCGAUGCUCCUGUUUUAGCUGGUGAUGGCUUUUCUUUUAGUGGGGGGUACUUCCAUAUUUCAGUACAUUUUUUUCCAAAUGCGAUCCAUUGGUCGAGAACUUAAUGGUUGAAUUAAGUUGUGCUUCUUUUUACUGGAAAAAUAUUCAGAUGAGCCAAACCCCUCUGAUGAAUGGUUUAAGCAAGGGAAAUUUGUUAAAGCUUGUCCUGUGGGUGGCACUGGUGAGAAAGCUAAAGAUCCAAUUUUUGGACUAACCAUGGGAGCUGCCUCUCAAGCUUCAAGUGAUGUUUUCAGUAGAUGGUUUAGCGCGGAAAGUGGAAAAGCUGAUAAUCCUACGGUUAUUUUGAUUCAUGGUUUCCCAUCACAGGCAUACUCUUAUCGCAAAG
Molecule: long non-coding RNA, 600 nt
Organism: Hibiscus syriacus
Lineage: Eukaryota; Viridiplantae; Streptophyta; Magnoliopsida; Malvales; Malvaceae
Exons: 4
Source: RefSeq, a predicted model, not a curated record